GAACACUACGCCCGGACCGUCCCC
RNAcentral lists this non-coding RNA (24 nucleotides) under Arabidopsis thaliana (thale cress). Lineage: Eukaryota; Viridiplantae; Streptophyta; Magnoliopsida; Brassicales; Brassicaceae. The record is from RNAcentral.